UCGAUGGUAACGCAUUGCUAUUCCAGCUCCAAUAGCGUAUAUUAAAGUUGUUGCAGUUAAAAAGCUCGUAGUUGGAUUUGUGGCAGUCGCAUGCGGCCCGGCAUUCGUGUCGGUGUUUGCUCGCGUCGCCAUCCUUGGGUGGAACCUGUGUGGCAUUAGGUUGUCGUGCAGGGGAUGCCCAUCAUUUACUGUGAAAAAAUUAGAGUGUUCAAAGCAGGCUUAUGCCGUUGAAUAUAUUAGCAUGGAAUAAUAAGAUAGGACCUUGGUACUAUYUUGUUGGUUUGCGCACCAAGGUAAUGAUUAAUAGGGACAGUUGGGGGUAUUCGUAUUCCAUUGUCAGAGGUGAAAUUCUUGGAUUUCUGGAAGACGAACUACUGCGAAAGCAUUUACCAAGGAUGUUUUCAUUAAUCAAGAACGAAAGUUAGGGGAUCGAAGAUGAUUAGAUACCAUCGUAGUCUCGCAGGUAAUGUCAUCGAGA
This 478-nucleotide ribosomal RNA is filed under the name Nitzschia palea. RNAcentral describes it as "SSU rRNA". It matches the Rfam family "Eukaryotic small subunit ribosomal RNA", at positions 572 to 1061 of the family's 1831-position model. Lineage: Eukaryota; Bacillariophyta; Bacillariophyceae; Bacillariales; Bacillariaceae. The record is from RNAcentral.